Non-coding RNA from Brassica napus (rape), 156 nucleotides. Lineage: Eukaryota; Viridiplantae; Streptophyta; Magnoliopsida; Brassicales; Brassicaceae. The record is from Rfam.
GACUCUCGGCAACGGAUAUCUCAGCUCUCGCAUCGAUGAAGAACGUAGCAAAAUGCGAUACUUGGUGUGAAUUGCAGAAUCCCGUGAACAAUCGAGUCUUUGAAUGCAAGUUGCGCCCCAAGCGUUCUGGCCGAGGGCACGUCUGCCUGGGUGUCA